RNAcentral lists this long non-coding RNA (755 nucleotides) under Lathyrus oleraceus (garden pea). Its description in RNAcentral is "Pisum sativum (pea) long non-coding RNA (PSAT_LNC001741)". Lineage: Eukaryota; Viridiplantae; Streptophyta; Magnoliopsida; Fabales; Fabaceae. The record is from RNAcentral.
AAUCAAUAGGGUGACACCAAGUGGUCACCCUUUAUUUAAAUGAAAAUUAAAAAAAUUAAAGGAAGAAAAACAAGCCAGGAAACAAAAUCAUAUCUCUGAGCUUCUCACUUCACACGAUUUCUACAUUUCUCUUAUCUUUUUCUUUUUUUCUCUACAUUUUCUCUUAUUCAAAACACAACAAAAACCAAACAACAAUUCUAAAUCCAAACAAAAUUGAACACAAAUUUUCAUAAGCAUGGAAUCAAGUAGUAAUAGGAGAGAGCAAAAAUAAAAGUACAAACAACAAAUAAGCUUGGCGGCGCGAUUGGCGCAACAACCUCUGGUUGCGGUUUUCGACGACAGAAAGGCGUGAUUCGCGUGGCCAGGUGUUGUGUGACGAAGAGGGUCGUGGUGGCCGACCUUGUGCCUAGGUGGUGGUGAUAUCAAAGGGUUUAAAUAGGAUUAUGAAUUAGGUCGAAUUAAGUGGGAAUGAUUCUAUUUAGGAUGCUUUGGAUCAGACAUGAGGCUCAAGGUUGUAAUUUUGGUAGGUUCAAAAUGUAAUAGAAAUUAUUGUAAUGAAAAACAAUUCCAUUCUGCUUUUUCUCUUGAUUUUGUUUUGGUAACUUUGGAUAUUCUUAGUGUUUUUGUGAUUAAAAAUAAAUAAAUUAAAAAAUAACAAUUAAAAAAUACCUAAUAAAAAACAAAAAAUAUUAUUUAAAUAUUCUAAAAAGUUAAUGUUUGACUUUUAUUGACUUUAAAAAAAUAACAAAUAAGAA